GGCUUCGUUGUGUGGAUGGGUGCAGGGUUAAUUCGAUUUAAUGCUGCUAAAUUCAAACUAAACUCUUAAUGUAGACCAGACCUGAAAUGCAGCGGCAGCAGGGGUGGAACGUGCAGUUAUCUAAGAGCACACAGCAAAAUCAUCAAACGGUUUAGAACAGGAAGUGAAAUUAGCACUGCAGCCAAUUGACACUAUAGGAGUAAUAUUAGGCAGAAUUCAAAUUUGGCCAGGGGACUAGCAACUCAUGCCAUGGAUAUGGUAAUGAUCACAGAAAGCCAGAACAUGGCGUUAAAGUUUUAUCCAAAGGAUAGUACCUGUAGUAGUGCAGCACAUCCUAAGACGAUACUUGUUCAAUACUUACUCACAGGAAGGGACAAGAUCACCCUCUACCAAGUCACCAGCAUCACUUAUUGUGACACCUGAUGUUUCUUUGGAGGUCUCUAAGUCAAGUACUGUCCAAGCCUGACUCUGUUUGGCUUGGCAGCCAAGUAACUUGGGAGCUGAGAAAAACACUGCCGACAAUAUAUCCUCCUUGUUUACUCUGACCAAAAUAGAUCUGGCACAAUGGCUCAGGAAUGAACUAAUCGGCAGAGAAUUAAUUGGCAUGUUUGUUCAAAGGCAGAAACAACUCGAGGAACAAAUCCCAGGCUGGAUGGCUCCAGGGGGCUCAAGCUGCCAGAAAGGAACACGGCAUAGUGGAAACUAUGGAUGGUAAGAGCGGUUGCACAACCAUGCUGGAUGCCAAAGAGUUGUGUGCUGUGCAAUGGGGAACCAGGGGCACGGAGGAGAGGAGGCCCCUCAAGAGAGGGUCCACUUUAAAAAGGAACUCCACUGCCACUGAUGGAUGUUUUCACUUCCGUAAGGCUCCCAUGUGUCUGAGGAGAUGUUCAGCUUGAAUGGGCGGGAGGGGAGGGCAAGAAAGAGCAGCUAGAAGAGGUUCCAAAGAAAGCUUGGAGAAAUGUGUAAAGCAGAGAUAUGAAGAGGGACACGUCACACACUACAAGCUGAAAUCCAAAGUGGGCGGUGAGGAGAGAAGAAAAAGAGAGAGAGAGAAUUUGAAACCUCAUCACAGGAUUGUCCUCUGGAGUCCAGAAGUAAGGAGCUGAAGGCCCAGCUAGCCUCCAUCAUGGGUGUUCUCCCAGUUCUCCUCUUCUUCCUCCUCCUACUCAACUGUAGUUGUCAGAAGGACUUUCUGAAUCAGCUUCAGAGGUGGAACUACAGAGAAGGAGGUAAGAGACACAGACAGGGGGAAUCAGAGAAAGAGUAUGGAGAAGAUUAUCUUCAAGUGGCUGAUGAAGGUUUAGCAGACAAAGUCAACAUCCACGGCAUUAACAGUGUCACUCGUAUGCUGGAGAAAUGGGGGAACAGUAUCUUCUGGCAAAUGAAACACUCCUUGUUGAGUCACCCUAACACUCUGCUGCCUGAGUUCUCCAGCCUCCAUCCCGUCUCCAAGGCACUUGAUGACCUUCUGAAGGAAGUACGUUCAAUGAAGAAGAGGCUGGAAGAGCUGAAUGAACGACUCAGUGUAAUGAGCAGGGCCUUCUCUCCUAUCCGAUUCAAUGCCCUGAGGGGACGGAGGCUCAGCAGUGUGCAGCUGAGAAGACUCCCUUUCCAGAGGAGGAGGAUGUACAUCCGCAGGAGAGUUCAGCGGAAUUAGCUCUCUUACAGAGAAAAAAAAAGAAACAUUUCUGUCUUUCUCUCUUCUGCAAGCCUUUAUCAAUGAGAGACUAUUAGACUGAAUAAAGUAUGAGUGAGAGUCUGGAUGCCUCAGGAGAUUGGCAAUUAUGGGUUAUGGAGAUGCCUUUCAAAUGUAGGUCAUUGGGUCAAACCCAGUCUAGCUCUGUGAUGAUGGCUGUGUUGUUACCCAUGUGUGAUGAGUUGUUGAUCUCAAUCCAGUUAAGUGUUUGUAUAUUUCUCCUAUACAGUCGUCCCCACAUUUCCUUUGGAUUGCCAACUAUAUUCCUUCUAUGCAGAUCAGAUGCCUUUUUCUCUCUGUCCUACUUCACAGAGAACUAUGGACUCAGGGGUUGGGGGAUCAUGUAUACCUAUGGACACGUAGGCCAAAAUUUUCAAAUGUUAGGCACCUAACUUCACAUUUAGGUACCAAAAUAAAAGUGACUUGAUUUUCAGUGUACUGAGCAUUUGACUUCAGGGAGAAUUGUGCUUGCUUAGCUCCUCUGAAAACAAACCAGACCACUUUUAUUUAGAUGCGUAACGUUAAAGCAGCUACAAUUGAAAAUUUUGGUCUCAAUCUAUAAACUGUACAUAUAAAGCAUGUUCUGUUGAUAAGCAGAUUUUUUAGAGUGUGAGGGAGGAGGAACUUCACAAGGCAUUGGAUAACAGGGAACAGUGCCUACAUUUUCAAACAUUGCUAGUGGUUUAGGGUGCCUCAGUUUUGGGGGGCCCACUUUUAGACACUGUAUGGGGCUUGGUUUUUAUAAAGUGCCAAGCACCCACCUGCUGAAAAUCAGGUCCCUUUUAAGCAUCUAUUUAGGGGUGCCAAAAAUCACUAAUCACUUUUGCAAUGUAGGCCCUGAUCUUGACAGCAGUCUUUAAAACACUACACGGCCAACCAAGCCACUUGGGCCCAGAUCCUCAAAUGUAUAUAGGCACCUCACUCACACUGAUUUCAGUGGGAGUUAGGCUCCUUAAUACAGUUGAGGAUCUGGGUCUUGGAGACCAGGGGCCAGAUUUUCAAAGGUAUUUAGGCUCCUAAAGAUGCAGAUAGGUGCCUAGUUUGAUUCUCAGAAGUGCCUCUGUAGGUUAGGUGCCGAACUCACCUGGUUACAGUCUGUCCCCAGAUGAUUAACCAAGGAAUUCUGAGAGGAGUUUUCCUGGUUCAGUUAUAGCACAGAUCUAUCACCCAGUGAGCAUAUGAUACCUACCCUUGUAACCACUAUAUUUAGUUUUGUUUGACUUUAAUGUGGAUUUCUGGACCAGUCAGAUGGUUAGCACUCUUAGCUGUAAUGAGAGAGACCUGGGUUUGAUUUAGGAGAAAAUGGAAGAUUUUCUUUCCAGUAAACUUCUGUGAAGUACUUCUCCUCCUAAGGCCUUACAGCUCAGGAGUUUCCUUGACUCACAGGACUUCCCUCUUUAAGUUGAUCAGUGAAACUCCAUUUGAAUAGCAGUAGGAAGUUGUCGGAAAAUGAUGCACUCUCUCCUUCCUUAGUCACCCUCCCUGCAGUGUUUCUGCUCUUGCUAGCCUUGGGAAGAAAGUGAGAGACUAUUGAGCACACAAACAAAUCAUGAUUUGGAUUUCUGAGCCAAUGAAACUCCUGUGUCUUACCUCUCCUCACUGACCAAAAUAUAGGCUCACAAUGGGAGAAAUUUGCCCCUGUGCAGAGGAGCCACACAGGUCCUAUGCAUCACUUAAGUUCUAGUUAAGGCCUCACAACAUGGUUUAGGUGGGACAUAAGUGGUAGACAGCCCUUGUGUGGACCUUCUGCAUAGGGGAGAAUUUCACCCAACGAAAAUUAGAUGAAAAUUACGCAAAGUGGUGAUGAAGUGGCUGAUCUCUUGCCGUCUGACAUAGGAGAAGACUAAACAAAAGACAGGAAAUAACAGUUUUUCUCUCAAGACCCUGGGUAAAAGUACUCUUCUUAUGAAAAGGUAAAGGGAGUUGACAAAGCGACACUUUCAUUUCUAUUGCUACCAAAAGUGAUGCCAUGGACCAAAUAAGUCCAAAGGUAAUUGUCCUGCCCUGUACAGAACUAGUGAAAUUCACCUACAAUAUUGAACUCUGUUCCGGUUGAGUUCAUACCUGAAAUGUUAGUAAACUGGCAGAAAAUUCAGAGAGGAAAGACCCCCCGCCCCUAUUAAAGGGCUGAAUGGAAUAACAUGAAAAAAGAAAGAGCAUUGUAUCUAGAUUAGCUAAAUGGCUAGUACGAGGGCAACAUGACAAUUGUUUGCAAAUAUUUUAAGGGGCAGAAAAGGAUGAUAAACAAAAAUAUUUUAAGGGGCAGAAAAGGAUGAUAGGAACAUGCUACUGUACCUCUGAAUGAAUGUGUCCUCAUCUUCUGUCAAGAACUGCAAGUAAUACAUUUCAUAAUUUUUUUAAGUAAAUGACUGAAUAGAAUAACAGGAAAUAAAGACUAUCUCAGCAUUUGCUCUGUUAUUACAUAUUAUCAAUUCUCACAUUGUAUUGCACAGAACUCCCACUCUGCUUAGUGGUAGUGUCUUGCACAUGUUGCUUGCAGGACUGGGGUUAUGGUUUUAAAGUCUGUUGACUGCUUUGGGAUCUCUGGAUAAGAGACACUGAAAAUGUCAGUUUUCAUUAUUUGUUCAUCUUUCAGGUAUGGAGAUCCCAUUGCCAGGUUUCCUGAAUCUGUACAGAUGGAAAAUAUUGGUCAGAUGUGAAACUAUUCAGCUCACAGAACCCACUCAUAAUAUUUUGUUAAAGAAUAAAAUAAAUUUUAAUGUGGA
This is a non-coding RNA of Chrysemys picta bellii (western painted turtle), 4422 nucleotides long. Lineage: Eukaryota; Metazoa; Chordata; Testudines; Emydidae. The record is from RefSeq and is a predicted model, not a curated record.